GGCUGAUCCUUUCUGCUUUUGCAGGAGAGUCACAACUAAGCAUAUCAUGUUUUAAACUGUUUUAAGAUAUGAACGAUUCUCUUCUUCAAAGGACUCUCGAUGAAGUAUAUUGAAAUUUAAGUAAAAUUGGCGCGUUGAAGUGUAUGGCAAUCCAUCUCUCCAACACUUAGGUAAGUCAAAAAAAACCCUUUCCAACAUUAAUACAUGACUACUUGUGUUAAAUAACAUGAAUUUUCUUCAUUUGCAUCAAUCAGUCAUGCAUUUUGAUGAUUAGAUAGAAUUUUCAAAAGGAUCAGAGAAACGGGAGGGAAUCCAAGUUACUUGACAUAUUACUCAAGAUAAAAAUAAUAAUAAUAACAAAUUGUUGCUGAAAAAGUAACGAUUCAUCUAAAGGCUGCGCCAAAAUCAAAUUUCUUCAAACUGUUCCAAGGAUUCAAUCAUUAUUCUAGAAUUAAUCACAAAUGCUAGAAAAACAUGUUCCUGCACAAGUGGGUGGUUUCUUGCAAAGAAAAAAGUAGGAAAUUAUGAUCACAAGAUAUAUUUUAAUAAUUCACCUGCACCGUUUGCAUUAUCAGGCCCUGUUUGUCCAUCAAAAUGUCCUCAAACAUGUGGCCGCUGUUCUUCUAGUCUCCUUUUCUGGGUCUGAGCCUGAUGCAAAAAGAGCAAUAGAAGACUGAUUCUUCAGCAAUGAAAUUUUCACGUAGAAGAUGAGACCAUAUAAUUGGUUUUCAUGGUUCAAGUAGUCAGGUAAUCACAAGAGAAUCAAGAAAAUGAAUGUAAAAUAUAUUCAAAUAGCAUCAUGAAAAUAUAGUCUCUCCACUAAGCAGCAUUCGGUAAAUAUUAUUGCCAAGGGCUCACAGUAAUCUUUUUAAAAUAUGGGAAAGAAAGUGCCACCGAAGUAGUGAACUACACCCUCCUCUCCAAAAGGGUAUAUCCUUUCUUACAUUGCCUUCUUGAUAAAUCAAGAAAAAAUUAUUAAAAAAAUUGUAACAAGACACAUACCUAGCUCCUACACAACAUUAUAUAAGAGGUCCAAAAUAUAUCCAAAAAUGUAGACAAGGGAUUGUAUGUAAAAUGCAAAAAAUUUAUCAUCUCUGUCCACCACGUGAAACAGUAACAUAAAGAUAAACAAUGAAAGAUUGGCCACACCUUUCCUAGCCACAUCUAAAUUAGUCUUUCCCGCAUCCACUCUGACUAAAAUCAAAAGAGCUCUAAAACAGCUCUCGAAUACAAUGCAAUUUGCAGACUUGCAGUCUAGAAAAUUCUCCUGAUGUCACAUAUAACAUUCCUUUCCAUUCCCAUUUGACAUUGAUGCCGCAAGAAGCUCAUUUCAGCACAAGAUUAACUGAAAAGCCCCAGA
This 1360-nucleotide long non-coding RNA is filed under the name Olea europaea subsp. europaea. The record is from RNAcentral. Lineage: Eukaryota; Viridiplantae; Streptophyta; Magnoliopsida; Lamiales; Oleaceae.